Molecule: long non-coding RNA, 1589 nt
Organism: Oncorhynchus kisutch (coho salmon)
Lineage: Eukaryota; Metazoa; Chordata; Actinopteri; Salmoniformes; Salmonidae
Exons: 3
Source: RefSeq, a predicted model, not a curated record
UGAACACACACGUACAGUCAGGUUCUUUCAGAGACCAAUCAUGAACACAGGCCUACAGCCAGGAAACAGGUUUCUAUAAAAGCUUCUUGUUUGAGUCCAACAUUCAAACUAUUUUACAUUCAAAGAGCACUAGCCCAAAGCUAAUCCUGUGAUUUGACCAGAAUAUCAUCAGACCUACUCCUAUCGGCAACAUGUAUUAAAACACCAUGAAAACAAUACAUUUCUGGACGUGUGGUCCUCGGCCUCCCAAUGGGGCUGGGGCCAGGGCUAAAGCAGGGGCCAAGAUAGUGGAUGGAGAACACACGGACCCCCUGAGGACUUAUGUGCCAUCGCUGCCCUCCUGUUACCGCUGCUGGAGGCUCCCGGAUGGAUAACGCCAACCACUCCGCUUUCUCCCUCCCUCUGUCCCUAUCUCUCUGUUUCUCUCUCUCUUUCUUUCAUCAUCCUGGAAUUAAAGUGUGACUAUGUUAAUAACCUGUCAGGUCAGAUAAAAAAGAUUGCUACUGGUGACACUGAAACCCGGUACUACCUGUGUCAGAAUAUUUGAGAUAUAUAUGGUUAAAUUCAAAAAGAUUUGUAAUAUUGAUUUUGCGCGUGACUUAAAUAUGUCCUUUGGAGUGGAACUUGAGGCAGAAGAUUUUUCUGACUCUGGGCAGGCGACAAAGAUUCUGUACAAACGCAAACGUCGGAGAAGCAUAACGGAGCCUUUACAUUUUAGCUCUGAAACUGAGAUCUUCAUAAGUACAGAGGGUGCAGAUCAGACAUUGAGUGUGAAAAACAACAUCAUAGACUCUUCUCAGCGUUCCAUCAUAUCAGAUUCUGAUAUUUUAGACAGACGCAAACGUAGGAAUAGCUUAGAUAUUCCACCAGAUUUUGUAACAUGCACACUGGAAAAUAUUCAGUAUGUAUACUUUGAAGUUUUAUGUUUUAUGCAUACUUUGAAGCUACAUAGUCACACUUUAAACCAGAUAUAUCUAUUAAAGCCUUCAUGACGCCAUCAUAAUGCCUUCAUAAUGUCCUACACUACAUACAUAGAAGCUUCACAUAUCAUUUGUAAGCAAAUGUCAUGCUGGAAAAAGGAGGUGUGCAGAUGCGGAAGCAGAGAUGUGCCGACAGAAGCGAACUUUCAAUGCAUAAUUCUGUUUAAACUAACCUAACGGAUGGCGCAGAAGCUGCAAAAUUAGGCUUUAGAGAGGUGGAAGGUUGCUUGAUCAGUAGCCGGAAGGUUGCUGAUUCAAUCCACGGACAGGGUAUAAAAACAGAACUGUGGGAACUGUUGGUCUAUGAUUCCAGGUACUCCCUCCUGCCGUUGUGCCCUUGAGCAUGGGACUUAAACCCCAAAACUGCUCUCCAUCCAGGGGUGCUGCUCUGUAGCUUAUCAACCUAGCUGAUCAAUGAUUUGUGCAGCGCCUAUGAAAUGUGAUGAAGCAGAUAAUGAGGCUAAACAACUAACAAUAUUCAGUUAAGUAAUGUACAUUUAGAAGGUUUUAAUAGGGUCAUACUCACAUUGCUCCUAUAAAUAUAUUUAGCAUUUCAUUAUCUUAUAUUCUGGCUUAGCUUUUUAAUGCAAUAAAAACUGUGACAAACUA